This is a small nucleolar RNA of Danio rerio (zebrafish), 139 nucleotides long. The record is from Ensembl. Lineage: Eukaryota; Metazoa; Chordata; Actinopteri; Cypriniformes; Danionidae.
CAUGCACACUAUUAAAACUCAACACUGUUGUCAGUGUUUGAGUGUCGGAAGUGUGCUAUAGUAACUCGGCCGGGAUUUCGCUAACACCAUGAGGGCUUUGCCCCAUGACUGGGGUUUGAUAGUAACCUGAGCCACAAUG